GACGCAGACACGAAGAGAUUUUCUGUUGUUUUUUGAGCUGCAUGACGUGUCCGUGUCUUGAUUGCGGUUUCUGCCCUUAAAAGAGACAACCGAAAGGGGGCACACACAGCGCCAACUGCUACUUAAGGAGCCUCAUUCAGGAGCGGAUCAACGGAAAUCGGGGCCAGCGGAGGCAACAGCUACAGCUCCUGACAAUUGUUGCACAAUUACACAGAAGACCUAUGGGCACGCAACUUUUGGACGGUUUUGCGGUCUGCGGCAAGGAUUUUGUAAGAACUCAAACUUAAACUGAGAGAGCCAAAUCGAAUGCGAGUUCGGGCAGACGCCUAAGCCCAAAUCACGCCUCACUAAGCUGCAGCAACCGAACUCAAGUGGCUGCCUCAUGUGGCUAAUGUUGAUGUUGCACGGUGAAAAAAUAAGGAAUUAUAAGGAUACCAGUGGAAUCUAAUUUUUCAUGAAUCAGCUAAAAGCAAGAUUGGAGUAUAUAUGCAAUAAAACCCUUUAGAAUAUAUAUAUCUAAAUUUUUUUAUAAUGAUAGCCUAGUGUUUAUAGAAUGACAGUUAAGUAACUCAUUAAUCUUAAUUUAACAAAAUUAAUGUGUAGUAUUUUUUCUAUGUGUACUAUUGCUAGCGCUGCUGAUGUUGCCGCUGCUCCCGUUUUUGCUGAAGUUGCUGCUUCUGCUGCUGUUGUUGUUGCUGCCGCUGUCCUCGGGUUCGUCCUCAAUCACGCCAUCGCCAUGCACAUGAACUACAUUCGUCUUGGAGCGUCUUUGUCUUGGAUCCGCUCGAUGUCCGCACUGGCCCCCGAAUCCGGCGAGGAGUCCCAAGCAGAGCGAAUCCCUGUUUGGAUGUUUCUGUUUGCUGCGAAAUCAAUGUUGACGCAAAUACGUACACGCAAUGUGAUCUUCCGCUCUCCCCCCUUAGCCGGCUCACUUUUCAGCUGGCCAACUGCAAGUUGACUGCAGUCGAUGAUGCAGUAUCCCCGGCUCGGCGACACUCCCCAAACACCUUGUGCCCCCCCCCUCCCCCUUUUCGUGGGGAGCAGUAAAAACUCACUUAAUUUAGCAACUGCGAAGAGUUAAUCAUUACAUUCCGCCGGCCGAGUGGUGCGUGCUCGUCGUGAUAUCGAAGGAGGACCACAUGACUCAGCCGCCCGCCGAUUUCAGUAUCGAAAUCUGAGUGACGGAGCCGAGAAAUGGAUUAAGGGAUUAUAACGCCAUCAUAACUAAGUCAGAAAGUGUUACAAAAUAAUUAUUAUUAAUCUGUAAUUCAUAUAGUAUAUUAUAUAAAAAUACCUUAUUUUCUAAAAGAUUGGUGAAAGCCCCAACAAAUAACCGCAGAAUGUCAGAGUUAAUGGCAUUUCAAAAUCUAAUUCGCGGUUACACCAACUUUUAAGAAGAAUCAGGAAGUUGUUGCAAUUUAACCUACAAUGAAAUACGUAGAUUUGUUUGCUUUCGCAUUACUCAGCGAGAUUUUGACGAACAUUUGUAUGCAAAUGGGAAAAAGCAACUGGAACUAGACAAAAAGCGACACUUUAAUCAUUCUGAGCAAGCGCUAAACAUUUCCGACCAACAAAAACAGAAACUUGAGCAUAUUUCCGUUGGAUUUGGUAUCUAGAAAGAAGGUCUUGCGCUGAGAAAAAUAUAUUUUACUACAUAUAUAACUGAAGAAAGAAUUACAAAAACUACUUCUAAGAUAGCUUAUUCUGAAGAUGCCCUCUAUUAUAGAUUUUAUAAGGGUAAUAUAUAUUGGUAUUUGAAACGUUAAAAUAUAUCAAUUAAAUUUAAGCUGGCCAAUAUAGACAUUUGUAUACAAAGAA
This is a long non-coding RNA of Drosophila sechellia, 1818 nucleotides long. RefSeq lists it as uncharacterized. The record is from RefSeq and is a predicted model, not a curated record. NCBI's taxonomy places the organism in Eukaryota, Metazoa, Arthropoda, Insecta, Diptera, Drosophilidae. The transcript has 3 exons.